CCAAAAUGCUGUGAUUACAGGUGUGAGCCACCACGCCUGGCCUGUUUUUUUUUUAAAUAAAUAUUCAAAACAUUUUAAAAGUUAAUAGAGAUACCUCUAAUCAGUUCCUAGAGAGCUUGUAAAUUGUCAGACCUGGUCAUCUCCUAUCUUCCCUUGGGUGCUGUCUCUGUGCUCAGGCACUUUCCUGUUUAAUAUACUACCUGCCAAUAACUAGCUAAAAGAUGCCGGGCGUGUGUGUGUGUGUGUGUGUGUGUGUGUAGUGUGUGUGUGUGUGUGUGUAAUAACCUAAUUGACACACAGUCAUGACGUUUUCCUUCAGCCUGAUGUUAUCCCAUCAUUCGGAGACCCAUUUUGUUUAAUUUGUUUUUUCAUAUAGUUUCUGGUAGGAAAAAUGCAUUGCUUUAGCACUGAAAUUAGCUUGAUUGAAAUGUCUUAGACUUUAUCAUUUUCCAGUGGCUCAAAAGGUUAUUUCCCAAGUGUUUAAUUUUUUAAGUACAGUAUAUAUUAAUUUCACUGCUGCUUUCUGACAUUCAUCAUUCCAUGAAAAAUUAUCACAAAUGAAUACAUCAAACAGACUUUUAUUUACACUCCAAUUCCCAUUCAAUGUAAAGUUAUUUAACUUUGAAGAUAGCAUGCAAAUUUGAUAAAGAUGAGGUUUUU
This is a long non-coding RNA of Sapajus apella (tufted capuchin), 660 nucleotides long. RefSeq lists it as uncharacterized. The transcript has 2 exons. NCBI's taxonomy places the organism in Eukaryota, Metazoa, Chordata, Mammalia, Primates, Cebidae. The record is from RefSeq and is a predicted model, not a curated record.